RNAcentral lists this ribosomal RNA (1252 nucleotides) under Saprolegnia parasitica. RNAcentral describes it as "eukaryotic LSU rRNA". It matches the Rfam family "Eukaryotic large subunit ribosomal RNA", at positions 26 to 1155 of the family's 3401-position model. The record is from RNAcentral. Lineage: Eukaryota; Oomycota; Saprolegniomycetes; Saprolegniales; Saprolegniaceae.
CGCUGAACUUAAGCAUAUCAUUAAGCGGAGGAAAAGAAACUAACAAGGAUUCCCCCAGUAACGGCGAGUGAAGCGGGAAGAGCUCAAGCUUAAAAUCUCCAUACUUGUAUGGCGAAUUGUAGUCUAUUGAGGCUGUUGUCAGCAUCGCGAUUGGGGACAAGUCCCUUGGAAAAGGGCAGCAUAGAGGGUGAUACUCCCGUCUCUGCUCCAAUCUGCGGUGUGUACGAUACGCUUUCUUUGAGUCGAGUUGUUUGGGAAUACAGCUCAAAGUAGGUGGUAAAUUCCAUCUAAAGCUAAAUAUUGGUGCGAGACCGAUAGCGAACAAGUACCGUGAGGGAAAGAUGAAAAGAACUUUGAAAAGAGAGUUAAAGAGUACCUGAAACUGUUGAAAGGGAACCGUAUCGUUUCCAGUGUUGUAUCCUAUGCAUAUUUCAUUCGUGGAGCAAUUUGCGGGUGCCCUGUGCAUGGGUGUGACGUCAGGGUCAGUUUGUAUGCUGCGGGAGAUGGUCAGUGAGGAGGUGCGUCACUUCGGUGAAAGUUAUAUCUCGCUGUCUAGUAGCCGUGGUUGAGACUGAGGUGCCUACAACAUGCCUUAAGGUUCCGUGUUGUCUCGUGUUGGUGACUGCUUUGAUAGCUUGCUAUGUUUGUGGUUUAUUAGUGCGAUUGAUGAUGCGGAUAACUUUUGCUGUUCGGGACUCUGGCGAAAUGGAGCGAUACGACCCGUCUUGAAACACGGACCAAGGAGUCUAACAUGUGUGCAAGUAUUAGGGCGUGGAAACCCAAAUGCGUAAUGAAAGUAAAUGCUGCUUAUGCAGCUGUGGUAGGAAAGGGCUGUCAAGGUCCUGGCACUAUCGACCGAUCAUGAGCCUACGGGCAAAAGAUUUGAGUAUGAGCAUAUAUGUUGGUACCCGAAAGAUGGUGAACUAUGCCUGAAUAGGGUGAAGCCAGGGGAAACUCUGGUGGAAGCUCGUAGCGAUUCUGACGUGCAAAUCGAUCGUCAAAUUUGGGUAUAGGGGCGAAAGACUAAUCGAACCAUCUAGUAGCUGGUUCCCUCCGAAAUUUCCCUCAGGAUAGCAGCAACUUUUUACGAUAGUUUUAUGAGGUAAAGCGAAUGAUUAGAGGCCUCGGGGAAGAAACUUCCUCGACCUAUUCUCAAACUUUAAAUGGGUAAGACCUGUGGGUUUCUUAAUUGAACCUGUGGACGUGAAUAUCCAAGUUGUUAGUGGGCCAUACCGGGUAAGCUGGUCUGGCG